CCAGGCUUGAACUGCCAGUGACCACACCCGAAAGGGUGCUUCCGCAAGGACACUGGUAGAGGUGCUGCAUGGCUGUCGUCAGCUCGUGUCGUGAGAUGUUGGGUUAAGUCCCGCAACGAGCGCAACCCUUGUCUGCUGUUGCCAUCACGUUAUGGUGGGCACUCUGCAGAGACUGCCGGUGAUAAACCGGAGGAAGGUGGGGAUGACGUCAAGUCAGCAUGGCCUUUAUGUCUGGGGCUACACACGUGCUACAAUGGCAGAUACAAACCGUCGCGAGACCGCAAGGUGGAGCUAAUCGGAGAAAGUCUGUCUCAGUUCGGAUCGUAGGCUGCAACUCGCCUGCGUGAAGUUGGAAUCGCUAGUAAUCGCGGAUCAGCACGCCGCGGUGAAUACGUUCCC
RNAcentral lists this ribosomal RNA (399 nucleotides) under uncultured soil bacterium. RNAcentral describes it as "bacterial SSU rRNA". It matches the Rfam family "Bacterial small subunit ribosomal RNA", at positions 975 to 1375 of the family's 1533-position model. The record is from RNAcentral.